This 828-nucleotide ribosomal RNA is filed under the name uncultured bacterium. Its description in RNAcentral is "bacterial SSU rRNA". It matches the Rfam family "Bacterial small subunit ribosomal RNA", at positions 8 to 839 of the family's 1533-position model. The record is from RNAcentral.
AGAGUUUGAUNCUGGCUCAGGACGAACGCUGGCGGCGUGCCUAACACAUGCAAGUCGAACGGAGUGAUUUGAAAGCUUGCUUUUGAAUCACUUAGUGGCGGACGGGUGAGUAACGCGUGAGUAACCUGCCUUUCAGAGGGGGAUAACAUCCUGAAAAGGAUGCUAAUACCGCAUGACAUAUCGAGGCCGCAUGGUCUUGGUAUCAAAGGAGCAAUCCGCUGAGAGAUGGACUCGCGUCCGAUUAGCCAGUUGGCGGGGUAACGGCCCACCAAAGCGACGAUCGGUAGCCGGACUGAGAGGUUGAACGGCCACAUUGGGACUGAGACACGGCCCAGACUCCUACGGGAGGCAGCAGUGGGGGAUAUUGCACAAUGGAGGAAACUCUGAUGCAGCAACGCCGCGUGAGGGAAGAAGGUCUUCGGAUUGUAAACCUUUGUCCUUGGUGACGAAACAAAUGACGGUAGCCAAGGAGGAAGCUCCGGCUAACUACGUGCCAGCAGCCGCGGUAAUACGUAGGGAGCAAGCGUUGUCCGGAUUUACUGGGUGUAAAGGGUGCGUAGGCGGCUCUGCAAGUCAGGCGUGAAAACUAUGGGCUUAACCCAUAGACUGCGUUUGAAACUGUGGGGCUUGAGUGAAGUAGAGGUAGGCGGAAUUCCCGGUGUAGCGGUGAAAUGCGUAGAGAUCGGGAGGAACACCAGUGGCGAAGGCGGCCUACUGGGCUUUAACUGACGCUGAAGCACGAAAGCAUGGGUAGCAAACAGGAUUAGAUACCCUGGUAGUCCAUGCCGUAAACGAUGAUUAACUAAGGUGUGGGGUGGGUCUGGACCC